Molecule: unclassified non-coding RNA, 291 nt
Filed under: uncultured fungus
Lineage: Eukaryota; Fungi
Description: partial contains small subunit ribosomal RNA, internal transcribed spacer 1, and 5.8S ribosomal RNA
Rfam family: Eukaryotic small subunit ribosomal RNA (bases 1-73)
Source: RNAcentral
UCAAACUUGGUCAUUUAGAGGAAGUAAAAGUCGUAACAAGGUUUCCGUAGGUGAACCUGCGGAAGGAUCAUCAAUGUAGUUUUUUCACAUAGGUGAGGUGUGUGGUUGACCCCUUCACACGGGUCACCCCACCUUUGCUUAUGAUUGGCCUAUCUAUCUUUAUUAAACAUGAUUGUUUGAUAAAAACAAAGUUGUGUGUUAAUUAUUCAGUAUUUUUUUUUAUUGAAUUAAAAACCAAAUACAACUAUCAACGAUGGAUCUCUUGGCUCUUGCAUCGAUGAAGAACGCAGC